Long non-coding RNA from Neofelis nebulosa (Clouded leopard), 406 nucleotides. RefSeq lists it as uncharacterized. The record is from RefSeq and is a predicted model, not a curated record. Lineage: Eukaryota; Metazoa; Chordata; Mammalia; Carnivora; Felidae. The transcript is spliced from 3 exons.
AUCAGUUACGUGCCCAGUGGACAGGUUUCUGACCAGAGAAAGGAAUGCCCGUGAACUACAGCAAUCUUAGAUGCCCAGGUUACAUUAUCCGAACAGCCCUGAGGCUGAACUGAAGGAAGUCCUCCAGCCUUCGCAGGGGAAAUCUGACACAGCUAGAAAGCAAUGGAAAACACUAAGCGUUGCAUCAGAUGUUGAAGAGGAACUGAUCAUACCGUGGAGAUAAAAAUGAUCUCUUUAAGGAGGAUUUCAAAAAUCUGGUUAUUUCAAGGCUUUGUGCACUGAUGGGAAUGAGGCAGCCGGCAGCCAAGCCACAUAACGGGAGCCUGGAGAAAGAUGUCUUGGGCAAUUUACACAAGAGUUUCCUUCUUUAAAUAACCACACAGUAAGUCAAUAUCCCUGAGGGCAU